UCAACAACGGAUCUCUUGGUUCUGGCAUCGAUGAAGAACGCAGCGAAAUGCGAUAAGUAAUGUGAAUUGCAGAAUUCAGUGAAUCAUCGAAUCUUUGAACGCACAUUGCGCCCGCCAGCAUUCUGGCGGGCAUGCCUGUUCGAGCGUCAUUUCAACCCUCAGCGCCCCCGGGCCUGGUGUUGGGGCGCUGCCUCCCCGGAGGCAGGCCCCCAAAUCGAUUGGCGAGCCCGCCGGUCUCCCGAGCGCAGUAGUCUACACCUCGCUCCGGGCGGACCGGCGCGGCCCGGCCGUUAAACCCCCAACUCCUAUGGUUGACCUCGGAUCAGGUAGGAAUACCCGCUGAACUUAAGCAUAUCAAUAAGCGGAGGAAAAGAAACCAACAGGGAUUGCCCCAGUAACGGCGAGUGAAGCGGCAACAGCUCAAAUUUGAAAUCUGGCCUCGGCCCGAGUUGUAAUUUGCAGAGGAUGCUUUUGGCGCGGCGCCCUCCGAGUUCCCUGGAACGGGACGCCACAGAGGGUGAGAGCCCCGUAUGGUCGGACGCCAAGCCUGUGCAAAGCUCCUUCGACGAGUCGAGUAGUUUGGGAAUGCUGCUCAAAAUGGGAGGUAAAUCUCUUCUAAAGCUAAAUACUGGCCAGAGACCGAUAGCGCACAAGUAGAGUGAUCGAAAGAUGAAAAGCACCUUGAAAAGGGGGUUAAACAGUACGUGAAAUUGUUGAAAGGGAAGGGCUCGUGACCAGACUUGUGCCAGGCGGCUCAUCCGGCGUUCUCGCCGGUGCACUCCGCCUGGCUCAGGCCAGCAUCGGUUCUUGCCGGGGGACAAGAGCGGCGGGAACGUGGCCCCCCUCGGGGGGUGUUAUAGCCCGCCGCACGAUGCCCUGGCGGGGACCGAGGUCUGCGCUCCGCAAGGAUGCUGGCGUAAUGGUCACCAACCACCCGUCUUGAAACACGGACCAAGGAGUCGUCCAUCAGAGCGAGCGUUUGGGUGUCAAACCCGCACGCGUAAUGAAAGUGAACGCAGGUGAGAGCUUCGGCGCAUCAUCGACCGAUCCUGAUGUACUCGGAUGGAUUUGAGUAAGAGUUUUGCUGGACGGACCCGAAAGACAGUGAACUAUGCUUGUAUAGGGUGAAGCCAGAGGAAACUCUGGUGGAGGCUCGCAGCGGUUCUGACGUGCAAAUCGAUCGUCAAAUAUGAGCAUGGGGGCGAAAGACUAAUCGA
This 1217-nucleotide ribosomal RNA is filed under the name Hapalocystis berkeleyi. Its description in RNAcentral is "eukaryotic LSU rRNA". The stretch from base 313 to 1217 matches the Rfam family "Eukaryotic large subunit ribosomal RNA", at positions 1 to 938 of the family's 3401-position model. Lineage: Eukaryota; Fungi; Ascomycota; Sordariomycetes; Diaporthales; Sydowiellaceae. The record is from RNAcentral.